This 1470-nucleotide ribosomal RNA is filed under the name Limosilactobacillus fermentum. RNAcentral's name for it is "bacterial SSU rRNA". It matches the Rfam family "Bacterial small subunit ribosomal RNA". The record is from RNAcentral. Lineage: Bacteria; Bacillati; Bacillota; Bacilli; Lactobacillales; Lactobacillaceae.
GUGUGCCUAAUACAUGCAAGUCGAACGCGUUGGCCCAAUUGAUUGAUGGUGCUUGCACCUGAUUGAUUUUGGUCGCCAACGAGUGGCGGACGGGUGAGUAACACGUAGGUAACCUGCCCAGAAGCGGGGGACAACAUUUGGAAACAGAUGCUAAUACCGCAUAACAGCGUUGUUCGCAUGAACAACGCUUAAAAGAUGGCUUCUCGCUAUCACUUCUGGAUGGACCUGCGGUGCAUUAGCUUGUUGGUGGGGUAACGGCCUACCAAGGCGAUGAUGCAUAGCCGAGUUGAGAGACUGAUCGGCCACAAUGGGACUGAGACACGGCCCAUACUCCUACGGGAGGCAGCAGUAGGGAAUCUUCCACAAUGGGCGCAAGCCUGAUGGAGCAACACCGCGUGAGUGAAGAAGGGUUUCGGCUCGUAAAGCUCUGUUGUUAAAGAAGAACACGUAUGAGAGUAACUGUUCAUACGUUGACGGUAUUUAACCAGAAAGUCACGGCUAACUACGUGCCAGCAGCCGCGGUAAUACGUAGGUGGCAAGCGUUAUCCGGAUUUAUUGGGCGUAAAGAGAGUGCAGGCGGUUUUCUAAGUCUGAUGUGAAAGCCUUCGGCUUAACCGGAGAAGUGCAUCGGAAACUGGAUAACUUGAGUGCAGAAGAGGGUAGUGGAACUCCAUGUGUAGCGGUGGAAUGCGUAGAUAUAUGGAAGAACACCAGUGGCGAAGGCGGCUACCUGGUCUGCAACUGACGCUGAGACUCGAAAGCAUGGGUAGCGAACAGGAUUAGAUACCCUGGUAGUCCAUGCCGUAAACGAUGAGUGCUAGGUGUUGGAGGGUUUCCGCCCUUCAGUGCCGGAGCUAACGCAUUAAGCACUCCGCCUGGGGAGUACGACCGCAAGGUUGAAACUCAAAGGAAUUGACGGGGGCCCGCACAAGCGGUGGAGCAUGUGGUUUAAUUCGAAGCUACGCGAAGAACCUUACCAGGUCUUGACAUCUUGCGCCAACCCUAGAGAUAGGGCGUUUCCUUCGGGAACGCAAUGACAGGUGGUGCAUGGUCGUCGUCAGCUCGUGUCGUGAGAUGUUGGGUUAAGUCCCGCAACGAGCGCAACCCUUGUUACUAGUUGCCAGCAUUAAGUUGGGCACUCUAGUGAGACUGCCGGUGACAAACCGGAGGAAGGUGGGGACGACGUCAGAUCAUCAUGCCCCUUAUGACCUGGGCUACACACGUGCUACAAUGGACGGUACAACGAGUCGCGAACUCGCGAGGGCAAGCAAAUCUCUUAAAACCGUUCUCAGUUCGGACUGCAGGCUGCAACUCGCCUGCACGAAGUCGGAAUCGCUAGUAAUCGCGGAUCAGCAUGCCGCGGUGAAUACGUUCCCGGGCCUUGUACACACCGCCCGUCACACCAUGAGAGUUUGUAACACCCAAAGUCGGUGGGGUAACCUUUUAGGAGCCAGCCGCCUAAGGUGGACA